UUUAGUAAGAAUUUAAUUUUGGUUCCGAUUGAACGUUUUUCAGUAGUUUUAAGACAUGCAAAUCGUUGUUUUCGAAAUUGAAUUUGUAUAAUUAAAAAUGGUUUACCAAUUUUAAUGUACGAAGGAUAUUAGGAGAUAAGGUGUAGAGGUGAGGACAGUAAAUAAGAUGCCCUAUAGUCUUCAGAAAUAGAAGAUAUUUCUUUUUAUUAAAGAAGAAAAUAAAAUAGCUAUUUUAUAAAGAAAGGAAAUUUAUCUGCUAUAGGAUUCUAUUUAUUUCGAUUAGGUAGUUGAUAGGGUAAAGGCCUACCAAGCCAACGAUCGAUAGCUAAGCUUGAAAGAGCCAAUGGCCACAUUGGGAAUGAGAUCUCCCAAGUAGAUUUUUAUUAUUAUAAAUAUGCUACCAGCAGUCAAGAAUAUUAGUCAAUGCUCGCAAGAGUGAACUAGCUAACUGAAAUCACAAUGUGUGUCACUUGUGAUGUCGUAAGGGAAAAUAAUGAUACUACCUUACUAAUAGUGUCGUCAAAAACUGGUGCCAGAAGACUCGGUAAGACCAGAGACGCAAACGUUAAUCAUCUUAAACAGGCGUAAAGGGUUUGUAGGCUGCUUUGAAAAUCUUAACUUUAAUAUAGCUAAUGUAAAGUUAAGAUGAAUUAAAGCUAGAAUCUAAUAGAGGUUAUAUUAUAUAAUACUUAGAGUAGGGAUUAAAUCCUAAGAUCCUAAGGGGAAUACUAAAGGCGAAAGCAUUUUACCACUAAAGAUUGACGCUGAGAAACGAAGGUGAGGAUAGGAAAUAGGAUUAGAUACCCCGGUACCCCUCUCUGUCAACGAUGAAUGGUAGUCACUAGGUUAAAAUCUAGAGGCGAUGUUAACACGUUAACCAUUCCGCCUUGUGAGUACGACUGCAAAGUUGAAAACAAAAAAAUUAGUCGGUCUCGAAGCAAACGAAGUGAAGCAUGUUAUUUAAUACGAUAACCCGCGUAAAACCUUACCAGUUCUUGCAUACAAACUUCUUUUUCCUUAAUAAGAAUUAGAAGGAGUGUUUUUGUUUUUAAUAAAACACUUAGUUACAGGUGUUGCAUGGCUGUCGUCAGUCCGUAUCGUGAGAAGUUUGGUUAAUUCCUCUAACGGACGAAAUCCCUGUUGUUAAUUUAUUCUUAACAAUUUAUGGUACUGAUAGAGUAUCAUUUGGGGCAAAGACAAGUCGUUAUGGCCCUCAUGAACUGGGCUAUAGACGUGCCACAAAAACUUUUACAAAGUGAUGCAAUACUAAAACAAAUUUGGUGGAGCUAAUCAUUAAAGAAAGUUAAAAUAUAAGAUCGUAGUCGGAUUGUCAUCUGCAAUUCGGUGGCAUGAAGAAGGAAUUUCGAGUAAUCGUUGAUCACUAGCGCAACGGUGAAGAUUUGAAUUCGUGAUGAACUAACUGUCUGUCGCUGGGAAGAAGCUUGAACUGGAGGAAACUGGGGGUAGAUUAGUUUUUACAUAGAUAUACAUUAAGUAGUAGUUUUCAAGCUAUUUAUAUAGUCAAUUAUUAAAAAAACAUCUAUGUUAAGCUAAUUGGCUUUAGUUAAUUCAUUUAGGUAACAUCUCAAAAGUCAUAGCAAGGUAGCUGUACUGGAAAGUGCUGCUGGAAAAUAAAAAAA
Molecule: ribosomal RNA, 1640 nt
Filed under: Taiwanofungus camphoratus
Lineage: Eukaryota; Fungi; Basidiomycota; Agaricomycetes; Polyporales; Taiwanofungaceae
Also listed under: 1 other name
Description: SSU rRNA
Rfam family: Bacterial small subunit ribosomal RNA
Source: RNAcentral